RNAcentral lists this ribosomal RNA (2928 nucleotides) under Salmonella enterica. RNAcentral's name for it is "23S ribosomal RNA". It matches the Rfam family "Bacterial large subunit ribosomal RNA". RNAcentral also lists the same sequence under 1 other name. The record is from RNAcentral. Lineage: Bacteria; Pseudomonadati; Pseudomonadota; Gammaproteobacteria; Enterobacterales; Enterobacteriaceae.
GGGUUGUGAGGUUAAGCGACUAAGCGUACACGGUGGAUGCCCUGGCAGUCAGAGGCGAUGAAGGGCGUGCUAAUCUGCGAUAAGCGCCGGUAAGGUGAUAUGAACCGUUAUAACCGGCGAUACCCGAAUGGGGAAACCCAGUGUGAUUCGUCACACUAUCAUUAACUGAAUCCAUAGGUUAAUGAGGCGAACCGGGGGAACUGAAACAUCUAAGUACCCCGAGGAAAAGAAAUCAACCGAGAUUCCCCCAGUAGCGGCGAGCGAACGGGGAGGAGCCCAGAGCCUGAAUCAGCAUGUGUGUUAGUGGAAGCGUCUGGAAAGGCGCGCGAUACAGGGUGACAGCCCCGUACACAAAAGCGCAUGUGCUGUGAGCUCGAUGAGUAGGGCGGGACACGUGGUAUCCUGUCUGAAUAUGGGGGGACCAUCCUCCAAGGCUAAAUACUCCUGACUGACCGAUAGUGAACCAGUACCGUGAGGGAAAGGCGAAAAGAACCCCGGCGAGGGGAGUGAAAAAGAACCUGAAACCGUGUACGUACAAGCAGUGGGAGCACAGGUUUACCUGUGUGACUGCGUACCUUUUGUAUAAUGGGUCAGCGACUUAUAUUCUGUAGCAAGGUUAACCGUAUAGGGGAGCCGUAGGGAAACCGAGUCUUAACCGGGCGUUAAGUUGCAGGGUAUAGACCCGAAACCCGGUGAUCUAGCCAUGGGCAGGUUGAAGGUUGGGUAACACUAACUGGAGGACCGAACCGACUAAUGUUGAAAAAUUAGCGGAUGACCUGUGGCUGGGGGUGAAAGGCCAAUCAAACCGGGAGAUAGCUGGUUCUCCCCGAAAGCUAUUUAGGUAGCGCCUCGUGAAUUCAUCUCCGGGGGUAGAGCACUGUUUCGGCUAGGGGGCCAUCCCGGCUUACCAACCCGAUGCAAACUGCGAAUACCGGAGAAUGUUAUCACGGGAGACACACGGCGGGUGCUAACGUCCGUCGUGAAGAGGGAAACAACCCAGACCGCCAGCUAAGGUCCCAAAGUCAUGGUUAAGUGGGAAACGAUGUGGGAAGGCCCAGACAGCCAGGAUGUUGGCUUAGAAGCAGCCAUCAUUUAAAGAAAGCGUAAUAGCUCACUGGUCGAGUCGGCCUGCGCGGAAGAUGUAACGGGGCUAAACCAUGCACCGAAGCUGCGGCAGCGACACUAUGUGUUGUUGGGUAGGGGAGCGUUCUGUAAGCCUGUGAAGGUGUGUCGUGAGGCAUGCUGGAGGUAUCAGAAGUGCGAAUGCUGACAUAAGUAACGAUAAAGCGGGUGAAAAGCCCGCUCGCCGGAAGACCAAGGGUUCCUGUCCAACGUUAAUCGGGGCAGGGUGAGUCGACCCCUAAGGCGAGGCCGAAAGGCGUAGUCGAUGGGAAACGGGUUAAUAUUCCCGUACUUGGUGUUACUGCGAAGGGGGGACGGAGAAGGCUAUGUUGGCCGGGCGACGGUUGUCCCGGUUUAAGCGUGUAGGUGUGUGUUCCAGGUAAAUCCGGUUCACUUUAACACUGAGGCGUGAUGACGAGGCACUACGGUGCUGAAGCAACAAAUGCCCUGCUUCCAGGAAAAGCCUCUAAGCAUCAGGUAACAUCAAAUCGUACCCCAAACCGACACAGGUGGUCAGGUAGAGAAUACCAAGGCGCUUGAGAGAACUCGGGUGAAGGAACUAGGCAAAAUGGUGCCGUAACUUCGGGAGAAGGCACGCUGACACGUAGGUGAAGUGAUUUACUCAUGGAGCUGAAGUCAGUCGAAGAUACCAGCUGGCUGCAACUGUUUAUUAAAAACACAGCACUGUGCAAACACGAAAGUGGACGUAUACGGUGUGACGCCUGCCCGGUGCCGGAAGGUUAAUUGAUGGGGUCAGCGCAAGCGAAGCUCCUGAUCGAAGCCCCGGUAAACGGCGGCCGUAACUAUAACGGUCCUAAGGUAGCGAAAUUCCUUGUCGGGUAAGUUCCGACCUGCACGAAUGGCGUAAUGAUGGCCAGGCUGUCUCCACCCGAGACUCAGUGAAAUUGAACUCGCUGUGAAGAUGCAGUGUACCCGCGGCAAGACGGAAAGACCCCGUGAACCUUUACUAUAGCUUGACACUGAACAUUGAGCCUUGAUGUGUAGGAUAGGUGGGAGGCUUUGAAGUGUGGACGCCAGUCUGCAUGGAGCCGACCUUGAAAUACCACCCUUUAAUGUUUGAUGUUCUAACGUGGACCCGUAAUCCGGGUUGCGGACAGUGUCUGGUGGGUAGUUUGACUGGGGCGGUCUCCUCCUAAAGAGUAACGGAGGAGCACGAAGGUUGGCUAAUCCUGGUCGGACAUCAGGAGGUUAGUGCAAUGGCAUAAGCCAGCUUGACUGCGAGCGUGACGGCGCGAGCAGGUGCGAAAGCAGGUCAUAGUGAUCCGGUGGUUCUGAAUGGAAGGGCCAUCGCUCAACGGAUAAAAGGUACUCCGGGGAUAACAGGCUGAUACCGCCCAAGAGUUCAUAUCGACGGCGGUGUUUGGCACCUCGAUGUCGGCUCAUCACAUCCUGGGGCUGAAGUAGGUCCCAAGGGUAUGGCUGUUCGCCAUUUAAAGUGGUACGCGAGCUGGGUUUAGAACGUCGUGAGACAGUUCGGUCCCUAUCUGCCGUGGGCGCUGGAGAACUGAGGGGGGCUGCUCCUAGUACGAGAGGACCGGAGUGGACGCAUCACUGGUGUUCGGGUUGUCAUGCCAAUGGCACUGCCCGGUAGCUAAAUGCGGAAGAGAUAAGUGCUGAAAGCAUCUAAGCACGAAACUUGCCCCGAGAUGAGUUCUCCCUGAGACUUAGAGUCUCCUGAAGGAACGUUGAAGACGACGACGUUGAUAGGCCGGGUGUGUAAGCGCAGCGAUGCGUUGAGCUAACCGGUACUAAUGAACCGUGAGGCUUAACCUUACAACGCCGAAG